UACGUAGGUGGCAAGCGUUGUCCGGAAUUACUGGGCGUAAAGGGCGUGUAGGCGGGGCGGCAAGUCAGAUGUGAAAUCCCAUGGCUUAACUGUGGAGCUGCAUCUGAAACUGUCGUUCUUGAGUGUCGGAGAGGAAAGUGGAAUUCCCAGUGUAGCGGUGAAAUGCGUAGAGAUUGGGAGGAACACCAGUGGCGAAGGCGGCUUUCUGGACGAUAACUGACGCUGAGGCGCGAAAGCGUGGGGAGCAAACAGG
This 253-nucleotide ribosomal RNA is filed under the name uncultured bacterium. Its description in RNAcentral is "partial 16S ribosomal RNA". It matches the Rfam family "Bacterial small subunit ribosomal RNA", at positions 524 to 776 of the family's 1533-position model. The record is from RNAcentral.